ACGGGAGUGGCAAGCGUUAUCCGGAAUUAUUGGGCGUAAAGCGUCCGCAGGCGGCCCAACAAGUCUGCUGUUAAAAAGUGGAGCUUAACUCCAUCAUGGCAGUGGAAACUGUUGGGCUAGAGUGUGGUAGGGGCAGAGGGAAUUCCCGGUGUAGCGGUGAAAUGCGUAGAUAUCGGGAAGAACACCAGUGGCGAAGGCGCUCUGCUGGGCCAUCACUGACGCUCAUGGACGAAAGCCAGGGGAGCGAAAGGG
Molecule: ribosomal RNA, 252 nt
Filed under: uncultured bacterium
Lineage: Bacteria
Description: partial 16S ribosomal RNA
Rfam family: Bacterial small subunit ribosomal RNA
Source: RNAcentral